UACGUCGGUGGCUCGCGUUGUCCGGAUUUAUUGGGCGUAAAGCGCCCGCAGGCGGCUCGGCAAGUUUGGAGUGAAAUCUUCCGGCUCAACUGGGAGGGUGCUUCGAAAACUGCCAGGCUUGAGGCAUGGAGAGGGAUGCGGAAUUCCCGGUGUAGUGGUGAAAUGCGUAGAUAUCGGGAGGAACACCAGUGGCGAAGGCGGCAUCCUGGCCAUGUCCUGACGCUCAGGGGCGAAAGCGUGGGGAGCAAACCGG
This 253-nucleotide ribosomal RNA is filed under the name uncultured bacterium. RNAcentral describes it as "partial 16S ribosomal RNA". It matches the Rfam family "Bacterial small subunit ribosomal RNA", at positions 524 to 776 of the family's 1533-position model. The record is from RNAcentral.